RNAcentral lists this non-coding RNA (36 nucleotides) under Schistosoma haematobium. Lineage: Eukaryota; Metazoa; Platyhelminthes; Trematoda; Strigeidida; Schistosomatidae. The record is from RNAcentral.
GCUGAAGAGUCCCAGAAUAGAACGAAACGGCCGUCC